This 351-nucleotide transfer-messenger RNA is filed under the name Chloroflexota (GNS bacteria). Its description in RNAcentral is "CF-107 sp005881435 Standard tmRNA". It matches the Rfam family "transfer-messenger RNA". From Rfam's summary of the family: Bacterial tmRNA, also known as 10Sa RNA or SsrA, is named for its dual tRNA and mRNA-like properties. RNAcentral also lists the same sequence under 1 other name. Lineage: Bacteria; Bacillati. The record is from RNAcentral.
GGGGAUGCGUGGUCUCGACAGGGCAGGCGAACGUGGCGUUGCGCGUCGAGGAUGUCGCCUUACCUCGCAAAUCAUGGCGGCGGCAGACAACUGCCAAGACAAAUUACGCACUCGCUGCUUAACCGCUAGCGAGCGCGGCCCGGGUUUCCGCCUCACAGACCUGGAGCCGCGCCAAGCGUGAGGCUGCGGUCCGGCGAGUGGCCGGUAGUCGGACCUAAGUCUUCGGCCUGGUGUCCCGCGAAGCCCGUCCGUGGGCGUCGCGGGCGCGAGAACGAAUCGCGGACUACACGCGUAGGAACGCCGCGCUCAAUGGCUCUGGACGGGGAGUUCGACUCUCCCCCAUCUCCACAG